Hydra vulgaris (swiftwater hydra) is the source of this 270-nucleotide non-coding RNA. Lineage: Eukaryota; Metazoa; Cnidaria; Hydrozoa; Anthoathecata; Hydridae. The record is from RefSeq and is a predicted model, not a curated record.
GAAAGUAAAAAAAUAAAAGUCAAACGUCAAUUAUUUGUCAAACCUGUAGCUGUUGUUAAACCCUAUGUGCCCGAAAAUGCUUAUAAAGCGCCUCAAAAUUAUGUACCUCAAGUGGUUGAAACAAGACCACUUGAGGAAUCAGAUGAGGAAACAUACGAAGACCAAUUGGAAAUCUACGACGAUAUUCCAGAAAUAGACGAUGAACAAGUUCGCAUACUCGAUGGUAUUAUGAUUCGUAUUGAUCGUCAUUUAAACGACGGCAUAAUGAAU